This is a long non-coding RNA of Acinonyx jubatus (cheetah), 3821 nucleotides long. RefSeq lists it as uncharacterized. The record is from RefSeq and is a predicted model, not a curated record. The transcript has 3 exons. NCBI's taxonomy places the organism in Eukaryota, Metazoa, Chordata, Mammalia, Carnivora, Felidae.
UCCAAUAGAAGUAGGAUGUGAUUUGGGGGCCUUGACAGACAAAGUAGAGAGAGGAAGAGGAAGAAAAAGAAAGGGCCAAUGACGGCAAAAGCAGUUACGUCGCCUCUCUCUGUAAAUUGAAAAGACUUCAGCCUCAGGUGGGAGUUGGCUGGGCAGCACGAGCUUCUCCAUGCCCUGGGAGUUCUGGGAAGAGAGAGAACGAGAGGUGGAAGCUUACAAAAUCAGGCAGCAGACCAGAGCUGGGAAGAGAGGGCAAAGUCCUUCAACCGAGGACUAAAACAGAAUUCCCGGGUCAUCCCAUAACUCAGCACAAACAAUGGUGCCUCAAGAUGGCUAAGACGCCGAACCCUAGGGCAGGCCCCACAGCAAGCUCAUAAGGCAGCUUCCAGAAGAACCUGGGGUCAUCACGAAGGGAAAGAUAUGAUCUCUAUUUCCCAGGGUGGUUGGAAAUCUGCUGUUUGCUCCAGGGAAGACAUUAUCUCUAUCCUCCAAACUGUUUGCUAUAAAAACAUCGUUGAAAAGAUAGUGGAAACAAAAGGCAAUCAGUGCAUUGCUCAUAAGAUGUGCAGAAACAACAGCACAGAUACGAGGCCUGGAACCAGCCGCAGCGUCUUCUUGCCGCCAACCCGAAGAUGAAGCUGUGUUGCAAAAAGAACCCACAGGGAAGCAGACUAGAGCCAUCGGACAGAGUGAAUCCUAAACCCCUCUGGACUUCCCGCAAAGAAGCCUCCCUCUUGAAGCAAACAGGAAAAGAAUUUUGUUACUUUUAGCGGAAAGCAACCUAGCAACACUGCUGUCUAUCUUCCUAUUAACUCUGGGAAAGAAGGGCAGUGUGGAGUGGGGUAGGAGCAGAGUUGGAUGUGGCAUGGAUGGCAGGACACCAGCAGUGGUGACAAUCAGAUGCACGCGAUGUCUAAGCCCUGCCACCAAGCCCAUCCGCCACCACCCAAAAGCCUAGCUGUGAGCCCUGGCGACAUGGGCAUUGCGCUGGCCUGUUCUGUCUGCAACUGUAGCCUUAAUCUCUUCGGAAAGAUCCAUUACACUGUCUGGAGGAAGGCACUCUUCUCGAGACCUGUGAUUAACCCCAGAUUUUGAUCUUCAGUGCAGAUUUCCUGCGAGUUCUCUCUGAGCCCUCUCGAAGGAUGCGCCUCUGGGUUUAGCUACAACUUCCAAGACCAGGUCUUAAGACAGCCCUGUUAACUUGGCUGCAAACCUCCCGAUGCGUCAGCCGUGCUGCCGCAUACAGAUGGCGUCCGAGCAUCCCGGGAGAAGCCUUUCGAUUUCCAUAGGAUCAGGUCGGGUGUUUGCAAUGCGCUUUGCAUCAUGGCUACGCAAGCCUGUUAGCUUUAAUUUACCGGAGUUUCGUUUCUUUAAGACUUUUCUCCAGUCAUCUUCUCUAAGGCAUAUCAGGUUAGGGGCAGAAGGCACGUCUUAGAUCAAUAUUCCCAGCAGGAAAAGGCUCUGCAGGCUUCUGACUGCAUGGCUAGUCUUUUAUUUCCUGUGUUGUUCCAGUUCGUACUGAAGGGGAGAGUUACUUGUUUCUUUAUCCUGCCAUAUUAAAUAAAAUCCUGGUUUAGAGUUAGGCGAGGCUUUAUAAGGAAGAUAAAAGAGCUGUUUUUAAUAAACAGGGUGGAAUGAUAAGGCACGUCUUCUCUCGGCAGCAUUCAGUAAUACAAUCCGAGCACCAGGAUCUCCAGCUACGUGGAGGAUCGUUGUCCACGGGACUGAUCAACCAGCUGUUUGCUGUCCCACCCAGAAAGAGAACGGGAGGGAGCGUUCGAAUUGUGGCAUUUAGGCGUGGGGUUCGACUGGGCUUUGAAGAAGUUCAAACCAGCACAGGCGGUUGUUGGGCUGGGGCAUGUCCAGUAGGGGUGCAGCGAGCACCUGCUGUGGGGGGCGGACCAUCCCGGGGCUCUCAUCUGUCGUGUGAAAGCAGAAACGAUCGCCGGACCCACGCUGCAGUGGGGAGAGAUCGUAUUUUUCGAAGUCACUCAGGUGGUUUUGUGCUGGCAGCAAAAUGAGUGUUUACUUUCUGAAGCCAACAGUUCAUGUAACAAGCCCCUUAGCAUGCUAGCAGAACAUCUCUCCGAGGUUUUCCUCGUGUCUGUCUUCACUGGCUAAUUUCGAUGCAAUUUCGAGGCAAGACUUAGCCUCUUAUAGGUAUCCCCUGGCACCUCUGUUUUCACUCCUCUGCUGACACAAGACACCAUGAGAGACGCCUGAACCCAGGCCCUGACGUGUGGCGGAAUAUUAGCUAAGCAACUCUGGGGAUCCUGGUCAUUACUUAGAAGGGAAACCCAGGGGAAAAUGAAGUUCGUUUUAGUCAAGGCAGAGGAGGGCAGCCUGCAAGGGGCUUACGGUCUGUUGGGAAAGGCAACAUGUAAGGUGUAACUCCGACGUCCUCAGGCUUCACCUAUCGGUGACUACAAAAUAUGACUAUUUCCUUCGUUAUCUCAAACACAAAGAUGCCAGGCUACGACUCUCUACCUACUGUCUGGCACAGGGACGGAGAAGCCCAGCAAAAAUCUGUUGCGAAAUACAUGUGCAACGUUGGUGAGGACGCAGCAUCGACAGACUGCCGACGACACUGGCAGAGUCUCAUGGGAGUCUCAUUCUAUAAGUGAUCAGCCCAGAGAAUGCUGGCUGAGGUCUUCACUUCUAAUAACCAAGAACAGUACUCAGAUUUAUUAACCACUUACCAUGUUUGAGGUAUUGUCCAAAGUUCUUUACAACAGUCCUUACAAAGGGUUCCCUUAUUACCUCAGGUUAUAGGUGAGGAAACUGAGGAACAGAGAGGUUCAUAACUGGCUCAGUGUAACACAGCUUUGAACCCGAUUGGGUUGGCGUUGCAACCCCCGGAGAGUGGAGAGGCUGGUAGACGAGAGUGCUCAACUGAGAAAUUGGCUGCGGCCAACAGGAGGCCGGAAGGAGGGAGUGACAGGCAAGGCAGAGACUAGGCAACAAUCGAGUAGGCAAAGGAUGAAGAGUCACUACCAAUUUUAGUCUUUGGAAAAGAGCUGGCAGUGCCCAGAGACACCCCAACAUGAAGGAAAUGACUGCAUGGCCUCCAAGGGAAGCGACUUUGAAGGAGAUGGGCAACUUCUGCUAAGCUAGCUCUGCCCCACCUAGGUUUCACUUUUUUUGGAAUCUCCCAUCACACAUUCCUCUUCUAGUAACUACCCAAACCGCAGCUAAUUUUCAAGGUAUUAAAAAUGGGUUUGUUGACCCAUUUUUGGGUUCUGUGUAAAAUUACACAGAAUAAGGAGUGGAGGGGGGUGAAAUAUAGCUAAAGAAUCAUCUCUAUAUUUCAGGGAGAAAACUCAACUGACACCCAUCUAGUUGUUUGGGUAGUUGAGACAUGGCCAGUGUUAAAAUGAUAUCAAAGACUAUUUCAGCCUCCAGGAAUUUUUCAAAACCACAUUUUUUUUUUUUUUUUUUGCCGACCCAUCCUGUGGUGUGUGUGUGUGUGUGUUUUGCUUGUUUGUUUGCUUGUUUUAUCCUUUGUUUUCCCAAAAGCUGAAGAAGAAGAAUUUCGAACCCGUCUUAAAGUUUUGUUUAAGUUCAUGCUUGUCAUAGUCUGACUUAUUUCAGAUUUUGUCCACAAUUCAAACUCAAAAUAUAAUUCUAUAAUAAUAUUCAUGGCCAAGUGUCUUUCUACUUAGAAGCCAAAGAGUAGAGAAGUUGUCUUCUAGAAUUUCUUUUUUAUUGUAAUUUUGGCUACCUCCAGUCUACCCUGUCUGUCUCUCUUUUGAAAAAUCUUGUCUACCUUUCCCUGGCCCAAAUUUUUAUUCUUCUAUUCUGUUCAGGCCAGAAUGACUUAA